AAAAAAAGUCCGUGACCACGGGAAGAACAUAAAACUCAAAAUAUACAGGCGUCAGGAUCGAACCCAUGACCUGUAUACCCGGCGAGGUAGUUAACAUUUCACCACAAGUGUUUUCCCCCACCCUCCCGACUCAUUUUCUCACAAGCUCCGUUUAUUUUGCCUCUGUUUCGUGGUGUCAGCUUUGUGUCGACGCAUGAGGGAGAGGUCGGCUGGGAAUUUUGCAAUCAGUUGUCACCAGAUAAAUUUCUGAAACAAAGACUCGGCAUGCUUAUUCGUUAAUCCGUGCUUUUUAUCCAGUUUCACCACAACCAGGGUUUUUUGCCCCCGUAAGUUCCUACAAUUUCCAAUUUUAUGUUAAAUAUGCAAUCAUUUUUAUUAAACAGUUACUAGGAUUAAUUGCUAGUAUGAUGCUCGCGUAUAAUUAUAUUUACAAGACGGUUUGCUUGGAGUUGUGGAUUUGAAGGGACUGGUCUGGAUGAUGGAGCAGCAUUCUCCGCGUGCUGUACAAACAACGCAGCUGUAAAGUGAGUAUUGUAUUUUUAAUGAAAUAAAUUUGAUGCAGAAGUUACGCCUUUGGCUUAUCUGCCACCAAAAAAGUCCCAUUUGGAUACGUGCUGCGGGGAGGUUUUUUGGCAUAAAAUAUAGUUCUUAACCUCGUUUUGAUGGAAAGCAGUGGCCGAUAGGCACUGGGGUUCAUCGUGGCCAUGUUGGAUCUCAAAGUUCAGGUUGAUUUGAAUUGGCGAUUAAACAAAGUUCAGGUUGAUUUGAAUCGGCGCUUAAACAAAGUUCAGGUUGAUUUGAAUCGGCGCUUAAACAAAGUUCAGGUUGAUUUGAAUCGGCGCUUAAACAAAGUUCAGGUUGAUUUGAAUCGGCGCUUAAACAAAGUUCAGGUUGAUUUGAAUCGGCGCUUAAACAAAGUUCAGGUUGAUUUGAAUCGGCGCUUAAACAAAGUUUAGGUUGAUUUGAAUCGGCGCUUAAACAAAGUUCAGGUUGAUUUGAAUCUGCGCUUAAACAAAGUUCAGGUUGAUUUGAAUCUGCGCUUAAACAAAGUUCAGGUUGAUUUGAAUCGGCGCUUAAACAAAGUUCAGGUUGAUUUGAAUCUGCACUUAAACAAAGUUCAGGUUGAUUUGAAUCUGCGCUUAAACAAAGUUCAGGUUGAUUUGAAUCUGCGCUUAAACAAAGUUCAGGUUGAUUUGAAUCGGCGCUUAAACAAAGUUCAGGUUGAUUUGAAUCGGCGCUUAAACAAAGUUCAGGUUGAUUUGAAUCGGCGCUUAAACAAAGUUUAGGUUGAUUUGAAUCGGCGCUUAAACAAAGUUCAGGUUGAUUUGAAUCUGCGCUUAACAAAGUUCAGGUUGAUUUGAAUCGGCGCUUAAACAAAGUUCAGGUUGAUUUGAAUCGGCGCUUAAACAAAGUUCAGGUUGAUUUGAAUCUGCGCUUAAACAAAGUUCAGGUUGAUUUGAAUCUGCGCUUAAACAAAGUUCAGGUUGAUUUGAAUCAGCGCUUAAACAAAGUUCAGGUUGAUUUGAAUCAGCGCUUAAACAAAGUUCAGGUUGAUUUGAAUCGGCGCUUAAACAAAGUUCAGGUUGAUUUGAAUCGGCGCUUAAACAAAGUUCAGGUUGAUUUGAAUCGGCGCUUAAACAAGGUCCCCAAGUCCAGCAAGUUGGGGGGUCUCGGCAUUGUCAACAAUGCACACAAAAAACAUUCAAUUGCAGAAAUCCGUUUACUAAGAAUGUCGGUUCAAUUGCUCAUCCACACGAUUCAAGGAGCACAAUCUAAGUGGAUGUAGGAAACCUAUUUAUUCAUAAUAAAGGUUUUUGGGUUAGAUCGCGUUAUUUAAGCCUAUUUAUGUUACUCGAGUAGUGUCCAAUUCCAUGGCUUUUUGAUAUGCUCUGCCAACUGAAGGAGUUCCAGAAGGAAAUUUCUUAUGACGUUUGACACUGCCAAUAGUAUGUGGGAUAUCAUUGUGGAUACAAAAAUAAUUUAAAAGCCCAGCAUCUCAAUCCAACAACGGUAUCUGUUAUAUUGCAACUACUGCCAGUUGAAAAAGGCAACCAAAGAAGCACAUUGCUGGAAAACAUUUGACCAGAGAAGUCUCAACGGCUCGAGAUUAUUUCAACACUUAAACAAAUGCAGUUUAUUUUCAUUUCGGGCAAUGUGGAGGGACAACACAUGAUUUACAAUGCACAUUUAUCUAUAUUAUAGCCAACCUGAGUAAAACUGCAUUCAAGUUCAAACUUCCAAUGGUAAACUCUUCAAAUAGGUUAUUUCACUUUCCACAAACUCUCCAAUUAUAAUAUGCAAUUUAAACUUAUGCUGUUUGUAUCUAAAGACAUUUUCAAUUUAAAUUUUAGUAAACCUUUCACUCCUGUUGCAUAGUCUAUAUAAAACAAUGACAUACUUGUAUGUACUGUAUAUAACAUUUGUAGAUUUUUAUUCGAUGCUCUUGUGUAAAAUGUUCAUAGGUUGUCGACUCUGUCCUGUUCAUUCUUUACGUCACCUUCCGUUUCGUCACAUCUUGACUACGCUGUCCAGAUUCCUCGGUAUUUUGACCCUGCCACAUUAAACAAAUUUGUAAUGAUGUGCAUUACACAGCCCCUUU
Molecule: non-coding RNA, 2599 nt
Organism: Petromyzon marinus (sea lamprey)
Lineage: Eukaryota; Metazoa; Chordata; Hyperoartia; Petromyzontiformes; Petromyzontidae
Source: RefSeq, a predicted model, not a curated record